RNAcentral lists this ribosomal RNA (459 nucleotides) under uncultured bacterium. RNAcentral describes it as "partial 16S ribosomal RNA". It matches the Rfam family "Bacterial small subunit ribosomal RNA", at positions 338 to 795 of the family's 1533-position model. The record is from RNAcentral.
CCUACGGGUGGCAGCAGUGAGGAAUAUUGGUCAAUGGCCGAGAGGCUGAACCAGCCAAGUCGCGUGAGGGAAGACGGCCCUACGGGUUGUAAACCUCUUUAGCCGGGGAGCAAAGCGAGUCACGUGUGACUCAUUGAGAGGACGCGAAGAGAAAGCAACGGCCAACUCCGGUCCCGCCGCCGCGGUAAUACGGGGGAUGCGAGCGUUAUCGGGAUUUAUUGGGUUGAAAGGGUGCGCAGGCGGAGGUGCAAGUCAGCGGUCAAAUUGCGGGGCUCAACCCCGUACUGCCGUUGAAACUGCAUCCCUUGAGUGCGCGAGAAGGAUGUGGAAUGCGUGGUGUAGCGGUGAAAUGCAUAGAUAUCACGCAGAACUCCGAUUGCGAAGGCAGCAUACCGGCGCGCAACUGACGCUCAGGCACGAAAGCGUGGGUAUCGAACAGGAUUAGAUACCCUUGUAGUC